AGUCUGAUGCAGAGCUUGAACUCAUGAACCUGAGCAAGAUCACACGACCUGAGCUGAAGUCGGUCGCUUAACUGACUGAGCCACCCAGGCACCCCAACGGAGGCCUUGACCAUGGAAGGGACCACCAGGCAAGCAGUGCUGGUGGCCACAGGAGCUGACAGCAGCAUCCCACUGACAUUGUGCAAGGAAGUGGACCCUUGCAGGGGGAGGACCGCAGUCCUCCAGCUCCAGGAAAUGGAAUUCUGCCAACAGCUCUGUUCAAGCUUGGAGGGGAUGUUGAGCGCUAGGUGCAAACACUGCCUGUGACACACGGGAGAGAACCCUCAGCAUCACACUGGACUGCUGACCUGCAGAACUGGGACACAUGGAUGGCUGCUGUCGAAAUGGGAGAACACUGGUGAGGGGCAUCUGGCUGCACUGAACACUUGCAACUGGGAGUUGAUUAUAGCUUGCCUACUCUUCCAGCGGAAAUAUACAUAACAGUUGUGCAUCCAUGGACUGAGGAAAUGUCCAGCAUUCACACAGAUAAUCUUGGGGCUAUGGAAUGAAGGGUGAGCUCAUUCUCUUGUAUCGAAUUCCCUGGGAGUGAGUUUUCUAGAAUAAUCCAGAGGAAGAAAGACAGCCCCUGGGCCAGGACUCAGGAAGACAGGAUGACAACGUCACCUGACCACCGUGCAUGCGGAGAGAGCCUGGGUCACGUCCUCCUGCCUGGAAACUGAUGACGGAAGCCCAGUGCGCACUCCCAUUGAGUUUCCCGUUUUAGAGAAACAAUUAGCGUCACCGCUGUUGCCGCAUACAAAAUUCU
Molecule: long non-coding RNA, 805 nt
Organism: Herpailurus yagouaroundi (jaguarundi)
Lineage: Eukaryota; Metazoa; Chordata; Mammalia; Carnivora; Felidae
Exons: 5
Source: RefSeq, a predicted model, not a curated record